ACGGCCACGGGACACACACUGCAUCCACUGCAGCUGGGGGCCUAGUUAACAUGGCAAGUCUCAUGGGCUUUGGCUUAGGGACUGCUCGGGGCGGGGUUCCAUCAGCUCGGAUAGCUGUGUAUAAGAUAUGAUGGUCUGAUGGCUGUUUUGAUGCUGAUAUUCUCGCAGCAUUUGAUGAUGCAGUUGCUGAUGGGGUUGAUAUAAUAUCUAUUUCAGUUGGGGUAAAACUCCCACAAAUUAUUUUGAAGAUCCAAUUGAAAUUGGAGCUUUUCACGCAAUGAAAAAACGGAUACUAACAUCAGCUUCUGCUGGUAACCAUGGACCUCAUCUUGCUUCCAUCACAAAUUUCUUGCCUUAGUCUCUUUCCGUGGCUGCUAGCACCAUAGACCGGGAUUUCUUUACCAAGGUGCAACUAGGCGACAAUAACGUUUUUGAGGUGAGUAAGCUUCAUGGCAGUUCCUUUGCUUACACUUCGAACUAAUAACCAUCACACACAAAUUUUUCAUUUAUUAAAGUUCCAACCAUGUGAAACUGAUUUUUGGAGGUUACAUCAUUGCUCUUUGUGUAGGGAGUUUCAAUAAACACAUUUGAGCUCAAUGACAUGUAUCCUUCCAUUUAUGGUGGAGAUUCCCCGAAUACUGCAGGAGGUAUUAGUGGGAACAGAUCUAGGUACUUAUUAAAGAUCAAAGAAAAAGAGUCAAUGGAUAAUGAAAGCCGUAAGUUAGAAAUCCUGAAUUUUAAAGAGUGUGUGAUAUAUUACAAGACUUUCAUUACUGAAAUGCAGGUUUUGCGAAAUAAACUCGAUGAACCCAAAUUUAGUGAAGGGUAAAAUUGUCCUUUGCAUUGGGCUGGAUAGAGCUGGGCCUAAAGAUGCAUUGAGUGCGUUCUUGGCAGGUGCCGUUGGGACUGUGAUAGCGGAUGGACUCCCCAAAGAUUUCAGCCUCAUUUUUCCCUUGCCUACAUCUCGCCUUACUGCAGGAGAUGGUAAUAGAACUGCCAAGCUACUACAUCAGCUCAACAAGGUAUCAAUUAACACAUCUUCCUACUUUUAUUUGGAGAUGAUUGUAAAUAAUAUAAAUGAUAUGCUAAGGAUUUGUACGGCAUAUAUAUACUCAGUCUUAGUCUUACUACAUUUAAACAGUAACCCAACUGCAUCGAUAUUGAAGAGUAUUGAGGUUAAUGACACAUUGGCCCCAUAUGGACCCUCCUUCUCAUCAAGGGAUCCAAACCCAAUUACACACAAUUGUGGACCCGUUUUUUUCACCUACGUCCCCACUCAAUCGGCGAGACUUGCUUUUAUUUGUGAAAAAUUAUUUUUGGAAAAGUCGGAGUCGCCACUUAUUUUAUUUUAUUUUAAAGGAAAAAUAAAAUAAGAAAUAAAACCCUAAAAAAAAUUACUCCAAAGUUUUUGGAAAAACGUGUCUUUGAAAAAACUUGAGUCUGGAUUUGGGGAUCAAGUUACUUAUUAGGAAGGUACCUCUAAAAGGUAGCACCCCUCUAAGCCCUAUAAAGGUCUCUACUAACUAAGUUAAGGGAGAUAAGACAAUUAAUUGAUUAAUUGAGGGUACCUAGGUAGACUAAGGUGAUUUCAAAAAAUAGUAUGUCAAACAAAAUCAAAUCACAAUAAAGAAAAGUUAAGAUGCGUACCUGAAUGGCUUCUUAAGCGCCAUUAAAAGACAUCAAAGGUUAGUUUGAAAAUAUGACAUAUAACAUGCAUUUUUAUCAAAGAUGAUCAAACAAGCAUCAAGGCAAUCAAAUAUGACAUCAAACAUGGACAUGACUCAUGAUAACAUACACAUUCAUAAAAUUUUAGAGUUGGAGGGUAGAAAGAGUGUACCUGAUUAGCGAGCAUCCACACGUCUAUGGAAAACUAGGUUAGCUUAAUAACAGGUAUAAACACUUCUCAUAUAUAUCAUAAAGAAUAAUUAAAAUCAACCAAAUAUCAAACAAUCCCCUCAUUUGAAUCAAUAUUAGAGAAGAUAUCAAGAAUGUCGGACCCCCCACCAAGGUCCAAAUUGCUUUUGCACGAAUUGAUUCAAUUAUUCCUAUUAUUUAGAACCAUGAAGUUUAUUCGUGCUUGAGGAAAAUCGAGAAAAUCAAGAAAAUGGUUGAAAGUCAAAAAAAAUAGUGAAAGUGCAUGCCAAGAGGAAAAAUGGCAGCAAAAGAUUAUUGAAAUCUAGAUUUUAUUGUUUAAAGAAGAUCCGAAGAUGAUUCUCUAAAAUCAGAGUUAUUUGGAUGAAGAUGAUUUUGAAGACACAAUUCAUAACAGGUGAAAUCACGAGGAAUAUGAGAGGGGUGGAAAAAGGAAGAGGGUAGUGUGCACCAGAGUGGCCAUGUCGGAGCGAGGCUUGGGGGUUUAGCUGUAGCUAGAUUGCUGAUGGUUGUUUGAAGAGGCCUCUGUACAUUGCUGGCAUGUCUGGAGAAGAGCUGGCCAUAUCCAUUUCAGAGCAUGUGCUCACUUGCUGUCAAAGCGAUCGCCAUGGUCGGGACACAUGGGCAACAUAUAAUGAAAAAGAGGCCACAGUUGCUGUUUACAGAACCCAUGAUAAAACUUUUAUGCAGGUCAUGAGGUAAAAAUGUUGGUACAUAAUUGAAAUCCUCCAGCAGUUUCUGUGCAACUUCUUCCUGUUCACUUGCAUCUAUUUCAACCUUGAGAGACCCCACAUAAAUGACCUCUGUUUCAGGGGAGAAACCAUCCUUUAAAUGCAAUAGAAAGGCAUCUUCAUCUAAACUGAAGCACCAUUUGGCAGUCACUUUAUCUCUUUCAAGAUGCAGCCAUGGUAUUCUCUGAUUUAUCUACAGCCAUGAUGCUUUGAAAAUCCGUCGUGAGUCUUCUCAAAAAUCUGGUGAAGCCCCUCUUCAAAAAGCUGUGUUGUCCCCCUGAAAAAUCUGGUCAUUCAUUCUUUUCAAGAAAAAGGCCAUACUUCCUCUUUCAAGAUCUUCAUUCCCCAUAUUUCUGAAUUUAAAUUCCAGAAUCUCAUACGAAAAUUGAUUGGCUGCAGAUAUUUCUGACAGAUGGCUUGACUCCAACAUGUAAUAACUUUCUAUGAAUUCUGGGUUCACAUCUGGUCUUAGAAAAGUGUAGAAAAAUUCUCUUAUAUUAACAUUUGAAUUCUGUUUCUAUUGUCAACUUGCUUACAUUCAAUUUUCUUCAACUGAAUGCUCGCAUCUUAAUUGAUUUUCAGAUGUCCAGUUUACUGAAUAACUCCUCAUUCUUCAGGCGUAUCAAAUUGCCCAUAAUCAGAAAUUAACUCUCAGUCAAUAGGAUUCAGCAACUUAUUCGCGUGUGUGAAGGCAAAUGGGCAGUAAGCUAGAGACUUUCUGAUGGAUCCUGCAUUUCUGGACUUUCGAGAGUGGCUGCCAAGAAGACACCAAGCUCCACCAUCCUCUUGUUCCUCCUGAAGGCUUCUUCUCGACGGGCUUCUUCUUUGUUUUAUGAACCAGGACCUGAAUCUGGACAAAAAGGCAGCGUUUACACCAUUGACCGAAUUAAGACUUCCGACUUUUCAUUUUUUUUUUUUAUCUUGCACCAUCUAGUUGUGUUUUCUGAUCUUACACAAUUACUGUAGGAAGACGGACUUUUGCCACUUUCAGAAGGUACAUGAAACUCAGGUGUAACGCCCAUCAUCUUCCAAAUAACACAAAGAACAUCAGACGCUGUCUUCCAGGAUUUCUGUGGAGCUUUUCUUGGCUUCAACUUCAUUGUAUCUGCUUUAAAAUCGGUAUCCUUCCAGGACUUGAUAACGCAGGAACAGAAGAGAUGAUUUUUGGAAAUGAGAUUGCUACUGUUGAACCAAGAACUGCAGAUUCUGCUGUUGAACAGUCUUCCAUAGUCAGCCAACAAUGCGUGUCCCCUCAGGAAAACUUUAAAGAAUGAACUGGAGGUUGUUGACUUGAUGCUUAUAGGACUGCCUUUUCUGAUUCAUCUUGUACUUUUACAUCAUUUUCUGUUUCAUCAGUGAUCUGUCAGUAUCAGAAAGGAUAGAAAUGCAUUUUCGCUUUGAAGGAGGACCUUGGUUCUCAGCACCUCAACUCAGGCUAAGUUUGCCUGUUUGUUCCCAUGUUGAAGCAAGAAAAUAUAAAUGGCAGUAGUAUUUUCUAAGCAGCUCGGCAUGUCUUGCGUUUUGUAAUUGACUCUUGAAUUUCUCAGCCUUGAAGGAUGCUUUCGAGAUGCCCAUGGAGAACUUCAUCCUUUCCAGAAUAUACGAAAUGGAGUUGAGAGCAAGUUGAAUUCUUUUAGCUUCAUCUUUCUCAUGACAAGAAUAAACUCGAAUUCUUUAAAGUCAUUUGAAUGGGCUUGCUCAACUAUUGAUUUCUCAAAAGUUCCAUGUGGAAUGGUUUAAUGCAGAAAAUGCUAAAUUUUCCAACAUGAGGAAAAUGAGAAGAAAUGCAGGAUCUGGAAAUGAUUUGAAGCAGCUGAGGAACUCGAGCACAUAUACAUUCGGAGGUCAACAUUCUCUAAACCCAUGGUUAUUUGUCUAUUCUCUGACCUGAUGUUCAUAAGUUUCUUUAAUCACACAAUUUCAGAAACUUAAUCAAAAUAUGCGGUUUUCUGUCCAUUUUCUGGUUGCCUAUAGAGAGGUUUCUGAAUUGAUCGUCACUGGAUGAAACACAGGAGACUCAUCAAGGAUAUCUGCUGUGUGCAUUAAAUUGUUGUGCGUCUCCAAAUAAAAGUGUUCUUGGCCUCCUACUUGGAUUUCUCUUUCUAUGAUUUUCGCCAAACAUGUGAGAUAGCAAUUGGUCGAUGCUUGUGGUCCAUCUCUUUCCCUUAAAUACCCGAACUUGCCACCUCUGGUCUGUUUGAAGGUCCGUCAACUCACUAGCAAAGAGGAUAAUCAAAGUAACAUGAAUCACCUAAUUUGCAAUCACUAUUCAAGAGGUUGGUUUAGACUUCUUUGUGUCAUCUGGUGCUUUAGUAGAGCCAUUAAUUGUCGCUGCUGGGCAUUCUUAAUCUGAUCUCUAGUCGGGGGGUGGGGGGGGGGGGGGGGGGGGGGGCGGGGGAAAAAAAAUUUUUUUAAAAAGGCCCAAAAAAAUUUUUGGGGGAAUUUUAAAAUUUUUAAAACCCCUCUUUAAUUUUUUAAGGGGUUAAAAAAAAGAAAAAAAUAGGGGGGGCGGGGCCUUUUUAAAAAACGGGAAAAAUUUAGGGGUUUAAAAUUUCCCCUUUAAAAAACCAAAUUUUUUUUUCCCAAAAAAAAAAAAAAAAAAAAAGGUUUUUUUUCCCAAAAUUUUCAAUUUUAUUAAAAAACCCUUUUCNNNNNNNNNNNNNNNNNNNNNNNNNNNNNNNNNNNNNNNNNNNNNNNNNNNNNNNNNNNNNNNNNNNNNNNNNNNNNNNNNNNNNNNNNNNNNNNNNNNNGGGGGGGGGGGGGGGGGGCGCGUGGCAACAAUGAUUGUUAUAAAAGGACCAGAUUAAUCUUCUGGCUGACUUUGAAGCUUUCAGACGUCAUCUCUGAGUCUCUGAUGUGAUCAAAGCAAGGAAAAUAUCAUGGCAGUCGGGCUCUUUAUAAAAUCGGUGAUAGCUUAGGGGUUUGAAAUUGCACGCUUCAACAACCUACUAUCGUUUCUCCUAAAAAAUAAUAACAGUAACAGUGUCAUGUCUCCAAACAUCUCAAGUUCAAUCAGAGACCCUAUUCCAAUAUCUCCAAUCUGAAAUUUCUAAGUGCUCAUGCUCUGGAACCUGUGACUAUGCUACUUCAUCUCUGUUUGUGCGCGGACAAUUGAACUUUUCCUAUAAUUUUCUUUUCUGUUUUUCGAGAUUCUCCGUGCUGAAGGAGGCCUCAUGAUGAGUUAGAAUUGUCCUCUUUGGCAACGGCUCCCUUAAAAGAAACGGGAAGAAGAUCUGUAUCCCCAUUAAAAGCUCUACUAAUCCCAUAACAGUUUCAGAAUUCUGAACCAGUUGGUCUCUUAGCCGGACGAACAGAUGAAGUCUGUAUGUGAUUCCCAUUUAUUCAUCAAGAGCAAACUGAAGACUCUUGAUGUCAUAUCCCAAGCUUCAUCCCAUCCAAGUCCUUCAUCAUUCAUCAGUAAUCGCAUCAAUUCUGGAAUUGCACGGGUAGGAUGUGUAUCGUUCAACUGCACUGCUACCUUAUUGUGAAAUUCAGACCAUUGGCUUGAGCCCCCAUCUUUCCUCCUUGAAUCUGAAAAUAAUGUCCUGAAGUGAGGCAUUGCAUAGGAAAAAUUGUUGCUUUGGUUGCAAGAGCUUUCCAUUUUCUGUAGCAUCUCUAGGAUAUAGAACAACACAAAUCUGCUGAGCUCGAGAAUGAAGCUGUGCAGGAGCUUCAUAUUGCCCAUCACUAAAGUUGACCAUCUGCCCAGAAUUGCAGCAUUCUGCUCAGAAUUGCAGCAUUCUGCUCCCCUACAGCAUUCCUCAUACUAUUUUUGGUUGCUAGUAUUAAGCAAUACUGUUCAAUACUUGGAUUUAAAAAUGCAGCGUGAUUGGAUGAAAGAGUAGGCUUGUUGAUCACAGAAUCCAUUUGGCAGCCAAGCAUUAUCAGAAAAGAUAGGAAAUACUUCCCUAGUUCCUACUCUGUGAUACUUGCAAGUCAGACUCACAUCGUCUUGGAAGAACACGAUCUACAGGUUCCAAUAGCUGCAAAACAUAGACGAAAUCCCCUGCUGUGAUGGCCAUUACGUUUGCUGGAGAAUCCCAAAAAGCACUGCCUUUACCACUAAUCUUCGAACCACAACUUCAAAAGCAAAGUUGGAGAAUGUUACUUUCUGAAGCAACAGACACAGAGAAGCACUCAUAAAGAGGCAACAGUUGUUCUUUAGUAGAAAAUAUGGAUGCCAAAUUUGGGCUGCUUGUCAGUAAGUUCUGGAGAGAAGUCAAUCCAAACUGAACACUGCUUCUGUCCACUGAGGCAUUUGAUGCCACUCCUCAAAGGUCCUGUAGAGAAUAUUCAUUCAGAUCAAUAUCACCAUUGUGCAUGGCCUGACUAUAAGUGCUGGUGCCACCAUUGACAAAGGUUUGAUUGUAGGAACCUGCAAUGUGAUUGAUCAACCGAUUCUUUUCUGUAAAAUUGCCAUCCCAAUUAUAUAAUGUCUGACUCAGACCUCCAAGAUCAAUUAGAUUCAGAUUCUGAACCACCCCAUUGCAAUUCUGAGUUUCACGCCCACCAGGAAAACCCAAGAGUACUUGCCAAUUGAUUCUUCCUGACUUCAGAUAAUUUAGUUUAUGUCUUCUGUGAUUUCAUUUUUAUUUCCAAAUUGAUUUCUGCCAUCAAACUCUUGCAGUCUGCUGCCAUCCCUAUAAUCUUUUCUUUGUUGUAAGGGAUACGACAUGCAGGGCACCGAACCUCUGUUUCAUCCUCCUCAGCCAUGUUCAUUGUGUCACGCCAUCACCAAACACAUAUCUCACAACCACAUUUGCAUGGCUUCAAUUUGCUAGUCGGUCAAUUCCAUCUCUUCAGCACAGAGAGGACAAGUCUUUUCUCCUUCGUCACUCAUGGUUGUCACCAGAUACUGUUCAUCUAACUUUACCACUCUUGGUGGUACGCCUAAGAUUAUACAUCAACAUGUACGCAUCACCAGAUGAGUAUGUCUAUGAACCACUAACAAUACUACAUUCUGAAGAUUGUAGCUGACCAAUAUUUAUAUGAUUUCCAUUCAUGACACCAUUCAUUGGUUCAGUGGAAGACAGAUGAACAGAUGGCUCAGUUUGAACAGGUUUAGCAGCAGAACUUGAAGACCCCUCUCCAAAUGGAUGAUGACCCAGGUUUGAGACAUGCUCAUCAUCAAAUUCCCACCAUUGCCCUGUAUUCUCAUCUUUAAUAUGAGCUAUGUAAUGGCCACUGUUCACAGUAGUCCCCUCGUGAAUCAGCACAGCUGACAAGUCAUAUAUUAGUUCAAAAUCAGAAGGUUCAGACAACCUUUCUCUCAUAUCCAAUUCUCCAGGAAAACAGAAUGCAGAAGUGAUUAUCUUCUUUGUUGUAGUCUUUGGAAGGAAAACACAGCGCUUGAGCUGGAAAUUAAGGACAUAAGGCCGUGUGGGUAGCUUAAUGCUACGGAUGGCAUAAAACCAUUGGAUGAAUCAACAAAGUCAUUAAGUACAUUACUGAUCUCCGUGAAAACCCUUCUCCUUGCUUCUGUAGAGUGAACACAAGCUGCCACUAAAAAUUGACUAGCCCAGGUUGCUAGUUUAUGCAUCCAAUCAUCAUCAAUUUUUCUUUUUUUUCUUUGUUUUUUGGAACUUCUGGAAUAUGGAAGAAACCUAUGAAAAAUAUGGUGGGAUAUUCCAGUAGUGCAGUACACAAUAGGACCCCUUUCUCAAUUGUCAGGUGGCUCCCCAUUCUGCCUUCUCCUAUCUGCUGAAUCAAUCAAUCCGUCCUUGAGAAUAGCUCUAAGCCGUUUAGACCCAGGUACAGAUGAAAUUCUCUCCCAAGUUACAGUGUCCCUAAGCCAACACAAGCAGAUAACACAUUCACCAGUGUGAUCUCAUUCAGUUUCACGGACUGCCUUCAUGAGACAGUAUAAAUCAAUUUCUUCCUCAGAAAGUCCACACUGCACAUAUCCCGUAAUGAUGGCAUUCCAAGGGGGGCGACUUCUUACAAGAAACACCAUCAAAGAUUUUUCAAGCUUUCUUCACAUUCCCGCACUUGGAAUACAGAUCAUUGUUACCGCAUCGAGCAGGACCUCAUCAGCCGAAAUAAGCAUCCGGAAGACAAACUCGACAUCUCCACAAAAUCCCUUUCUUCCCCAUACACGUUUAUCAUUGCAGUCUGGAAAACCACAUUCCUUCUCAUUGGUAUUUCUUCAAACAACUCCCACGCUCCUCAAUCUCCCCUCAGUGUACAUACCAUGAAAUGAUCGAAUUUUGAGAAGCCACAUCUCUAAUCCCCAUAUGAAGAGCUCAUGGCCAUGUGACGGGUAGGAGGAAAAACAUAAACAAGUAUAGUGGAGAGUAGAGGAAACAAAGAGAGAACAAACAUGCGAGAUUGAAAUAAGAUAAAGCCACAUCUCAUGAUCUUUCAAUGGGCUCAGGCUAGUGGGGAAGAUCACAAACAGAUUUGGGACAAAAUAAGUACGCAACCAAUAUCAACAAAACAAUUUGUGGCCCUUUCCAUCCACACCAAUCAGCAGUACAUUAAAUAUUCAGAAACGAACACACGGAGAAAUCGAAUAUGGGUAAGAAUUCCAAGAGUAACAAGAAGCAUACUCGGACAGCCUUGGUUGCAAUUGCUCCUUUCCCGCUUCCUCUGUGCUUCUCCCAAAAAUCCCCCUCCCUCUUCUGUUCUGCCCCCACACUUUUAAAAUCCCUCUCUUGCGUCUUUGUAUCAGUUUUUUUUUGUUUUCCUUUUGUAACCGAUUCCACCAUGGAAAUAAUAUAUGUGCUAUCCCUCUAAAAACAAAAUCUCCUCUUUUUCAAAAUUCUGUUGAUUCUCCUUCCAAAUAGAUGGCGGCCCGUUCCUUAUGCCCAAAAAGCCAAAAAAUAUGAUUUAGAAAACUUGUAAUAAAAUGAAAUUAAAAUAAUAAAGAAAGUCAUACAAGUCACACAAGUCAUUUAGGUCAUGCAAUCAUGUAAGUCAUAUAAAAAGUGAGUCUAAAAGUACUUAAGUGGGCCUAAGUGAGCUUAAGUGGGCCUAAGUGAACUAAGCUCGAUGAAGUGUCUAAGUGGGCCUAAGACGUUUAGGAUAGUGCCUAAGUCUAAAUUAGAGCCGUCAAGGUCAUAAUGUGGAGUCGGAUAAACCCUUCAACCAAAGUCUCCAAAGUGGCUCAGAAAAUAUAAGUAGUAAUGAAUAGCAAUGGGCCACCAAGGAACUACUGUGGAGCACUGGAAGCGAACUUAAAGAUAUGUGCUAAAUGGAUAAAAUUGAGGGUCUACAACAACCUUCUCAAGGUAGUUUAUGCAAUUAUUCUUGAUUUUCUUCUCAUUUAUUUUAUUACAUUUUCAUUUCUAUAUCAUGUAAACCCAAUUCAACAUUUUCAUCUCCCAUCUGAGAAAGCAUUGUGGUUUUUCUUAAUCUAUGUUGAGAGCAGUUACACAUAUCUCAGGGCAAAACACCCCUGUUUCCUUAGUUCAUAGACUUUUCAGUAGCUUGACAUUCAUGAUGACUUUGUGAUCUUACUGCAUGCAGCCAGAUUUAACAGCCCCAGGCGACAUGGUCACCAAUUUUUCCCAUCUCCGAAGUACCUGGUGAUAAUCGAGUAGCGCAAUAUAACUGGCACGUCAAUGGCUUGCCCACAUGCUACUGGGGCAGCUGCCUACAUCAAGUCAUUUCACCCCACCUGGUCUCCUACUGCUAUUAAGUCUGCUCUUAUGACUAUUGGUAAUGUCUAAUUUUAUUCCUAACCUUUAAAAUUAUGAAAGGGUUGAUAAUAUGGAUCUCUGUUCUUUGUGUGUUUGUAGCUACUCCCAUGAGUGCUAAAAAAAAAAAUCCGGAAGCCAAAUUUGCAUAUGGUGCAGGCAAUAUAGAUCCUGGUCUGGUAUAUGAUGCCGAUGAGAUUGACUAUGUAAAAUUUUUGUGUGGGCAAGGUUAUAGUACUCGGGCUCUAUGGCCGGGGGUAAUUGUGUCUGUUCUACCGCUACAAAUGGAACCGUUUGAAAUCUAAAUUACCCUUCCUUUGCUCUUUCCAGCGUCACCAAGGAAUCCAUCACUGGCAUGUUCAGUAGGACUGUCACAAACAUUGGAUCAUCGGUGUCCACGUAUAAAGCAACUGUUAUAGGUGCUUCAGAGGGACUCGAAAUCCAAGUUGAACCAAGCAUUUUAUCAUUCACAUCCCUCAUGCAGAAGCUAUCCUUUGUGUUGAAGGUUGAAGGAAAGGUAGGUGACAACAUAGUCUCUGCUUCUUUGGUGUGGGAUGAUGGUGUACAUCAAGUGAGGACCCCCAUUGUUGUAUUAGCCCUCACAUAAAAUUCCAGAAUCCUGGUGUUCUUGUGGUACUAUCUAUAACAUUAAAAAUAAAUGAUGCGGCAAGUACAACAUUUUACUUGAUUUAAGAUCUUCAAUCUUGUUUAGCUGCUUUUCCACCAUCUUUAUAUGGAACUUUUUAAAAAUCUCUCCAAAUGUGACCUUGGGCUUUUCUUAAUAUCCACACAAGAAAACAUUUGAGUUUUUGAUAAGGAAAAUGAUAGUAUGGACAGAAACAACAUUGGAUCAACCCAGCUUGUGCAAAAGUUUCUCCCUUGAAAGAGAUUCUUGAGUUCAACACUCACAAAUUUUUUGUAGAAAGUACAAACACACCCUCAAAUAUCAUUGUCAUUAAUAAGAUAUCCCUCGAAUUGGAAUACAUGGAACCAAAUUAAACCAAUAUUAUCUUUAUACUAGAAAAGUUGGAAUUGGGCUUUGUUGUAACUUUUGUUAUAUUUUGUUAUUUUUAUUUUUGAAAAUAUUUACGAAAGUACCAUUGCUUUCCUUUCAUAUAUAGGAUGGGAUAAUGAUAAUUAUCAAUUAAAUGCAGGUCGAAAGAUGUGGUAUGGCAGCAACGUGUAUUGCGUUUGGAAAGCUCCUCUUUCCCGGCCAAAAAGGCUCAUUUUCCACAAUUUCAUGAAGCCUCUCUUUUUCCUUUACUUUGUUACUUUCAAAUUAGAACAAUUUACUUAGAUUAAGGCGGUAGGGAUGAAUCACCUGUGGGAGUGACCCAAAUUCUAAUUGCUACACCAAUCAACAUUGAUAGAAAAAGUGGUGACGUAUUAUGGGAAUCGUAAUCAACUGUCGGUGGGCUGACGCAACCUUCCCACCCUCCUUUUCUCCAACAACGUGAGUCACAUGCUUGAGACCUUCUAUGGCAAAACAAUUAUAUCAUGCACCUUUGGAUGAUAUAAAACAAUUAUAUAAAAGAAUUAUUUUAUAUCUAACACGUACCUUUGGAUGCUAAAGAAAUUUUAUGUCAGAUACAUGUUUUAGUGGUAAUCAAAGGCACAAAAAAGCACACUUAUGGGAAUAUAAAAUUUAUUUAAAUAAUUGGAGUGAGAAAAAAAAUGAAAAAUAUUUCUCUGCUAGAAAUUAGGAUCCAACAUUGUUAAAUAGGAUUUUGAGAUGGUAAUUUUACAAAAAAAGUUAGUAAUAAUAUCCUAAAAAUAAAUUGAAGGGUAUUAAUAAUGGGAUGAAAUUCUAAAGAUGAAGUCUAUUGAUGCUCUCUCUCUCUCUUUGUAUAGUCUUCGAGCUUUAUUCAUAACUUUUAACAAAAUUCUUCCUCAAAAGAAGCUUAUGAAGCGACAAUAAUAAUAAAAAAGAUUGAAUUAUUGGAAGAGAUGUAAAGUAGAUGUUGAAUAUAACUUUAACAAAAUUCUUCCUCAAAAGGAGCGACAAUAAUAAUAAAAAAGAUUGAAUUAUUGGAAGGGAUGUAAUGGGAUGUUGAUAAUGGGAUGUUGAUGGGCAUAUCUUUUAAUGAAAAAAAGUCUUUGGUAUUAUGGGGGAUGACUGGUGAGUCUUUUGAUUUAUCCGUGCAUUGCUCUUUAUUCUUUUAUCUUUUUAAAUACAAAUUAUUGGAAAUGUCCUGGAAGGUGUAACAUUAGAUUAAAAGAGAAAAAGGAUUGGGAGGCUCAUGUGUAUAUAUGUAUAGAUGUCCAAGCACCACGAAGCGCAUAGCUUACCAUCAUCUAAUGGCAAGACAAAAAAACUCUUCUCUGUGGUUUCUCCUUCUCAGUCUCAUCUGCAGUCUGCUCAGUACCCACAGUACUGCAGCAGCUUCCGAGGAUGAUGUUCGAAAGGCAAGAAACACCCAUCUCUCUCUUGCUUUUUCUUAAUUAAUGGCUUGGUCAAUAUUCCAUGAACCAUACAUGCAUGCAUGGCGGAAAAAUUAAGAUUAAUCUUGCGCUGAAAAUCAUGCUUGAGUAGUGUUAAUAAACUGGAUUUGCACCCAACAUAUAUAUUAUGGAUGCAGGAGUAUAUUGUGUACAUGGGUGCCAAGCCUGCCGGAGAUUUCUCGGCGUCUGCCAUUCACACCAACAUGCUGGAGCAAGUCUUUGGCAGGUCAGUAUUCACCUUUUGUUUUUUUUUCUAUUUUUCUAUUUUUGUUUUUUUAUUUGUUUUAUUUAUUACAUAUAUGGUACCUAAUUUUCCCCAUGGAAUGCCUUUUCAGCGGUAGGGCAUCAAGUUCUUUAGUCCGCAGUUACAAAAGGAGUUUCAAUGGAUUUGUAGCAAAGCUAACAGAGGAUGAAAUGCAGCAAAUGAAAGGUGCGUGGGUGGGUUUAAAUCUUUCUGUAAUUGAAGUAACUCAUGUGUGUAAUGGCUACAAAAUUAACUGUAACUUUGGAGUUUCAGGCAUGGACGGGGUGGUCUCGGUUUUCCCUAGCGAAAAGAAACAGCUCCACACAACUAGGUCGUGGGAUUUCGUGGGGUUUCCCCGACAAGUUAAAAGAACAAGUUUUGAAAGCGACAUUAUCAUAGGAGUGCUUGACGGUGGAAUAUGGCCAGAGUCUGACAGCUUCGAUGAUAAAGGAUUUGGCCCACCGCCAAGGAAAUGGAAGGGCACUUGCCAAGGGUUUUCCAAUUUCACUUGCAACAAGUAAAUCUCACUCGCAACAGAGUGUCUAAAUACCCUGUUAAAAAAGUUUAAAUAUAUCCUAUCCUUGUUCCUUAACAAAACUUUCCACCGAUGUUAUUGCAGUAAAAUUAUUGGAGCCAAGUACUAUAAGAGCGAUAGAAAAUUUAGCCCAGAAGAUUUGCAAUCCCCAAGAGAUUCAGACGGCCACGGGACACACACUGCAUCCACUGCAGCUGGGGGCCUAGUCAACAUGGCAAGUCUCAUGGGCUUUGGCUUAGGAACUGCUCGGGGCGGAGUUCCAUCAGCUCGGAUAGCAGUGUAUAAGAUAUGUUGGUCUGAUGGCUGUGAUGAUGCUGAUAUUCUCGCAGCAUUUGAUGAUGCAAUUGCUGAUGGGGUUGAUAUAAUCUCUUAUUCACUUGGGAAUCCCCCUUCCCGGGAUUAUUUUAAAGAUACUGCUGCAAUC
Molecule: long non-coding RNA, 13885 nt
Filed under: Vitis vinifera (wine grape)
Lineage: Eukaryota; Viridiplantae; Streptophyta; Magnoliopsida; Vitales; Vitaceae
Description: long non-coding RNA (VVIN_LNC004045)
Source: RNAcentral